This 497-nucleotide ribosomal RNA is filed under the name uncultured bacterium. RNAcentral's name for it is "partial 16S ribosomal RNA". It matches the Rfam family "Bacterial small subunit ribosomal RNA", at positions 28 to 507 of the family's 1533-position model. The record is from RNAcentral.
GAUGAACGCUGGCGGCGUGCCUAAUACAUGCAAGUCGAGCGAACAGAUAAGGAGCUUGCUCCUUUGACGUUAGCGGCGGACGGGUGAGUAACACGUGGGUAACCUACCUAUAAGACUGGGAUAACUUCGGGAAACCGGAGCUAAUACCGGAUAAUAUUUCGAACCGCAUGGUUCGAUAGUGAAAGAUGGUUUUGCUAUCACUUAUAGAUGGACCCGCGCCGUAUUAGCUAGUUGGUAAGGUAACGGCUUACCAAGGCGACGAUACGUAGCCGACCUGAGAGGGUGAUCGGCCACACUGGAACUGAGACACGGUCCAGACUCCUACGGGAGGCAGCAGUAGGGAAUCUUCCGCAAUGGGGGAAAGCCUGACGGAGCAACGCCGCGUGAGUGAUGAAGGUCUUCGGAUCGUAAAACUCUGUUAUUAGGGAAGAACAUACGUGUAAGUAACUGUGCACGUCUUGACGGUACCUAAUCAGAAAGCCACGGCUAACUACGUG